AGUGAACGCUGGCGGUAGGCCUAACACAUGCAAGUCGAACGGCAGCACAGUAAGAGCUUGCUCUUACGGGUGGCGAGUGGCGGACGGGUGAGGAAUACAUCGGAAUCUACUUUUUCGUGGGGGAUAACGUAGGGAAACUUACGCUAAUACCGCAUACGACCUACGGGUGAAAGCAGGGGAUCUUCGGACCUUGCGCGAUUGAAUGAGCCGAUGUCGGAUUAGCUAGUUGGCGGGGUAAAGGCCCACCAAGGCGACGAUCCGUGGCUGGUCUGAGAGGAUGAUCAGCCACACUAUAACGGGGACACGGUCCAGACUCCUACGGGAGGCAGCAGUGGGGAAUAUUGACCAAUGAGCGCAAGCCUGAUCCAGCCAUACCGCGUGGGUGAAGAAGGCCUUCGGGUUGUAAAGCCCUUUUGUUGGGAAAGAAAAGCAGCAGGUUAAUACCACGCUGUUCUGGCGGUACCCAAAGAAUAAGCACCGGCUAACUUCGUG
Molecule: ribosomal RNA, 492 nt
Filed under: uncultured bacterium
Lineage: Bacteria
Description: partial 16S ribosomal RNA
Rfam family: Bacterial small subunit ribosomal RNA
Source: RNAcentral